GACGAACGCUGGCGGCGUGCCUAAUACAUGCAAGUCGAACGCUGAAGGAGGAGCUUGCUUCUCUGGAUGAGUUGCGAACGGGUGAGUAACGCGUAGGUAACCUGCCUGGUAGCGGGGGAUAACUAUUGGAAACGAUAGCUAAUACCGCAUAAGAGUAGAUGUUGCAUGACAUUUGCUUAAAAGGUGCAAUUGCAUCACUACCAGAUGGACCUGCGUUGUAUUAGCUAGUUGGUGGGGUAACGGCUUACCAAGGCGACGAUACAUAGCCGACCUGAGAGGGUGAUCGGCCACACUGGGACUGAGACACGGCCCAGACUCCUACGGGAGGCAGCAGUAGGGAAUCUUCGGCAAUGGACGGAAGUCUGACCGAGCAACGCCGCGUGAGUGAAGAAGGUUUUCGGAUCGUAAAGCUCUGGUGUAAGAGAAGAACGAGUGUGAGAGUGGAAAGUUCACACUGUGACGGUAUCUUACCAGAAAGGGACGGCUAACUACGUG
This 495-nucleotide ribosomal RNA is filed under the name uncultured bacterium. RNAcentral describes it as "partial 16S ribosomal RNA". It matches the Rfam family "Bacterial small subunit ribosomal RNA", at positions 28 to 507 of the family's 1533-position model. The record is from RNAcentral.